Molecule: ribosomal RNA, 253 nt
Filed under: uncultured bacterium
Lineage: Bacteria
Also listed under: 1 other name
Description: partial 16S ribosomal RNA
Rfam family: Bacterial small subunit ribosomal RNA
Source: RNAcentral
UACGUGAGGGGCGAACGUUGUUCGGUGUCACUGGGCUUAAAGGGUGCGUAGGUGGUUGCGUAAGUAACGUGUGAAAUCCCUCGGCUUACCCGGGGAAUUGCGCGUUAUACUGCGUGACUUGAGGAUUUCAGGGGAAUGGGGAACUCCAGGUGUAGCGGUGAAAUGCGCAGAUAUCUGGGGGAAGGCCGGCGGCGAAGGCGCCAUUCUGGGAAAUUCCUGACACUGAGGCACGAAAGCGUGGGGAGCAAACAGG